Molecule: long non-coding RNA, 397 nt
Filed under: Elaeis guineensis (African oil palm)
Lineage: Eukaryota; Viridiplantae; Streptophyta; Magnoliopsida; Arecales; Arecaceae
Description: long non-coding RNA (EGUI_LNC027468)
Source: RNAcentral
CGAUUGAUGCGGUACUCUAUCGGAUCUCCUUAAAGAUAUUUCUAUAAUAUAUUUUAGAUUUGAUCUAAUCAAGUCCGACUCUAUGGGUUUACUAGAUUGUGUCAGUUCUUCUACUGAUCGAACUUCAUCAUGUUCAAUCUUUGAGAUAUUAGUUCUUUCUUCAAGAAAUUUUUUUUUAAAAAGACUGCCCUAUUGCUGACGAACACCUUCUGUUCAUCAGCAAGGUAGAAGUAAUACCCCUUGAUCUUUUUUGGGUACCCUACAAAUAGACACUUGUUAGACCUAGAUUCAAGCUUAUUAGUUUUCAAACAUUUGACAUAAGCUGGAUAUCUCCAAACUCUAAGAUGAGAGAGUACUGACUUGCACCCUGUCCAUAUCUCAUGUGGUGUUUUAAUUA